Molecule: transfer RNA, 75 nt
Filed under: Verrucomicrobiaceae bacterium
Lineage: Bacteria; Pseudomonadati; Verrucomicrobiota; Verrucomicrobiia; Verrucomicrobiales; Verrucomicrobiaceae
Description: tRNA-Asn
Rfam family: tRNA
About the family: Transfer RNA (tRNA) molecules are approximately 80 nucleotides in length. Their secondary structure includes four short double-helical elements and three loops (D, anti-codon, and T loops). Further hydrogen bonds mediate the characteristic L-shaped molecular structure. tRNAs have two regions of fundamental functional importance: the anti-codon, which is responsible for specific mRNA codon recognition, and the 3' end, to which the tRNAs corresponding amino acid is attached (by aminoacyl-tRNA synthetases). tRNAs cope with the degeneracy of the genetic code in two manners: having more than one tRNA (with a specific anti-codon) for a particular amino acid; and 'wobble' base-pairing, i.e. permitting non-standard base-pairing at the 3rd anti-codon position.
Source: RNAcentral
UGGGGCAUAGCUCAGCGGUAGAGUAGGUGACUGUUAAUCACUUGGUCGCAGGUUCGAAUCCUGCUGCCCCAGCCA